GGGCCAGAACAGAUGAUGUUUCCCAGGGGACCCAAUCCCAGAAAUAUGUGGAGCUGGAGCUUCUGCAGCCUUUUUGCUACCAUGAGAGGAACCAAAUUGUGAAGACAUCUGUUCUGUUAUUAAUUUCACAUACAUCUUAAGCUCCUCAAGGCCAGAAAUGAGGCUUCAUUCACGUCGAAUUAAUGAAACAUGAUUCAGCUACGUUUUCACCCCAUCCUGGGCUCCACGGCCCUGCAGCACAUACUUCGAGAACGCUGCUAAUUUCAGCGUCUGGCUUCCAGACCCAGACGUCAGAACAAGUCCCUUUCAUCUCAGG
This is a long non-coding RNA of Lemur catta (Ring-tailed lemur), 316 nucleotides long. RefSeq lists it as uncharacterized. Lineage: Eukaryota; Metazoa; Chordata; Mammalia; Primates; Lemuridae. The record is from RefSeq and is a predicted model, not a curated record. The transcript is spliced from 3 exons.